AGAAUCGCCAUCUCUAAGUGCUUUGUCUAGUCUUUGCUUACCCACCGAAUAAAAUAAAAAAAUGUCUAAGCACUCCCGCGGUGUCGGUAAAAAAUUUGCUACAACCUGUGGUUUGCCUGUGGGUGCCGUCAUUAAUUGUGCAGAUAAUUCAGGUGCGAAAUCUCUUUUUGUCAUCGCUGUGGCUGGCUAUAAGGGUCGUUUGAACCGCUUACCUGCGGCUGGAGUUGGAGAUUUCAUCAUCACCUGUUGCAAAGACGCAAAACCUGAAUUGCGAAAAAAAGUUUUGCAGGCUACAAUUGUCCGCCAACGUCAAACAUGGCGCCGUAAAGAUGGUGUCUUUAUAUAUUUUGAAGACAAUGCUGGUGUUAUUAUAAAUUCAAAAGGAGAAAUGAAGGGGUCUCAAAUCACUGGCCCUGUAGCUAAAGAAUGUGCGGAUCUCUGGCCAAAAAUUGCUUCUUCUGCAAACACAAUUGUCUAAACAAUAAAAACAAAUAGAUUAUUUAACA
This is a long non-coding RNA of Schistocerca gregaria, 506 nucleotides long. RefSeq lists it as uncharacterized. The transcript has 2 exons. The record is from RefSeq and is a predicted model, not a curated record. NCBI's taxonomy places the organism in Eukaryota, Metazoa, Arthropoda, Insecta, Orthoptera, Acrididae.